GGUUGUGUAGUGUAGUGGUCAUCACUUUCGGUUUUGAGCGCUUCUUGGGCGACAACUUCCGAAUAACCCCGGUUCGAACCCGGGCACGACCU
Saitoella complicata NRRL Y-17804 is the source of this 92-nucleotide transfer RNA. It matches the Rfam family "tRNA". From Rfam's summary of the family: Transfer RNA (tRNA) molecules are approximately 80 nucleotides in length. Their secondary structure includes four short double-helical elements and three loops (D, anti-codon, and T loops). Further hydrogen bonds mediate the characteristic L-shaped molecular structure. tRNAs have two regions of fundamental functional importance: the anti-codon, which is responsible for specific mRNA codon recognition, and the 3' end, to which the tRNAs corresponding amino acid is attached (by aminoacyl-tRNA synthetases). tRNAs cope with the degeneracy of the genetic code in two manners: having more than one tRNA (with a specific anti-codon) for a particular amino acid; and 'wobble' base-pairing, i.e. permitting non-standard base-pairing at the 3rd anti-codon position. Lineage: Eukaryota; Fungi; Ascomycota; Saitoellomycetes; Saitoellales; Saitoellaceae. The record is from Rfam.